Molecule: long non-coding RNA, 320 nt
Filed under: Homo sapiens (human)
Lineage: Eukaryota; Metazoa; Chordata; Mammalia; Primates; Hominidae
Description: HSALNT0122997
Source: RNAcentral
GUCAGAAGCUAGGAUUAAAGAACAAAUACAGAACAAAUUAUUCCUCCAGCACCCCUACUGCAAGGAUUUUAAGAACUCUAUCUCAGGAUAAAGACCUGAGGCCCAAGGAAGACGAAGAGAUAUCUGAAUGGCCUGGACAUGGCAUGUAAAAAUGACUCAGCCAACAGCUGGAAAGAAGCUGCUGGCCUUCAGAUGGCUGGAUUCUCAUAUCUGUGUUGGCGUUAAAUAUUGUUACAUGUUGUUUUCGAUGAAGCAUAUAAAGAAAGUCUACCUUGGAAAAGGUAGGCAUAUUUUAAUAGCCUUUCAGUUAUUCUUUGAUA